AUGCUGACUCUCUGGAACGGAGACAAAGGAGGGUGUAGCUCGGAGAAACCUAGCCAGGCGCUCCAAGGCUCUGGGCUACCGGAGGCUGCUGCCCCGCAAAGCUUCUCUUGCGCUCUCGGCGCCGAGGAGUCCGAAACUGAUGGCGGACUUGGUUCCUUUCCCAAACUUCGGGAGACGGUGUUUACCCUAACUCUGGUGGCUGAAGCAGGGGGCGUGGGGGCGAAGAAGCGCCCCGCUAAGGCUGCUAUGGCUGUCCACCCACCUCCCCACCGCCCGGCAGCACCCUUCCCUUCCCCCUCACCUGUCCUGAGCGCGGGGCCUCAGGGGUCCAGUCGCCUUUCGGGACUCGCACUGCAGGAGCAGUUGGGACGUCGGGCGCCUCCGGAACCAGCGAAGGAGGCGGCGGCGGGCUCGGGGGCGUCAGCGGGAAUCUCGGCAGCCGCGGGCAGCCUCGGGCUCCCUCCCCAUCCCGGCGGGGCUCGGGCAGCGGACGCGGCGUGGCCACCGAGCGCGGCUGAGUCAGGCGAGGGGGCGGGCGGGGGAGGGUGGGGGGCUCCCCUACCCCCGAGCCGGGGGGGCGGCAGCGGCCUCGGGGCGGGGGACGUGCCGCUGCUUGUGCCCGCCGCGGGUCGCGGGACCGCCGGCCGCCGCCAUCGAGCGCAGGAGCCUGAGCGCUCCAGCCCUCGGAGGUCACCGGGUGCGGCGCGCGACUCGCGGCUCAGGCGUCGUCGCCGCCUCCAAGAAAGACAAAAGGGACCCGGGGGCUGGGAGGGGAAAAGUUUUCUGCUCGGCUCCAGACAGAUCCCCACCAAACCUCACGCUCCAAGCGCGGAAGAGGCGGGCUGGGGGCUGGGGGCUGGGGGCUGGGAGCUGGGGGCUGGGGGCUGGGAGCUGGGGGCUGGGGGCUGGGGCGGGGGGCGGGGCUGGCUUCCAGGCGCGUCACAGCACGAUCCGGACCCGGGUCCGAGCCAAGCUCGCCGCCGCCCACCACCCGUGGGAACUCCCCCCGCCCUGCUGCCCCCGCUUUCGCAGCCCGCCUCCUCCUUGAUGCAGACAAGAUCUGCUCUUCCCCCUCCCAGGUCCCCAGUCCCCCAACGGGUGACCCCGCCGCAAAGUUGCACUUCUGGAGCCGGGAUUACCACAGACAAAACCUAUCUGUGGGAACAAAAUACCCGCUUUCAGGAGCUCUUCUCUGGGCUGGAAGGCCAGAAGGUGGAAACGGACACACCCACCCGUGGGGCGCGCCUCUUGCUGUGGUGGAGCCCCGGGUCCCAGAGCCGAGGUCGGCGCCCCGCCAGUCCUCUGGAGCAAUAG
RNAcentral lists this long non-coding RNA (1314 nucleotides) under Felis catus (domestic cat). Its description in RNAcentral is "lncRNA (ENSFCAG00000051149.1)". The record is from RNAcentral. Lineage: Eukaryota; Metazoa; Chordata; Mammalia; Carnivora; Felidae.